AGUAAAUUACGUGUUCUGAGCAACGACAUGCACCUGGACAUUUAGUCUGAGCAGAUUCUGUAACAUUAAAAUAGGUUGUGCUACUUUGACAAAAAAGCAACAGAUCUUCCUGAAAUGCAAUUUUCUUUUUCUUUAUGCUUUUGUAUUUCCAGGAGCCGUAUCAUCCAUGGAGCAGAAGUACCAGAAAGCAAGAAUGAGAGAGAAUAAAGAAAAGCACAAGACUUCUCCCUAUAAAGCACUGUUAACAAUCAAUUUUCUACAAAAACAGGGGUCCUGAAGGCAAGACCACCACCACCUUACGGUGGCAACCUGAGUAAUGUAAAUUUUUGCUGUAUAGCUAGACAAGAAACACUGAAGAGGAACACAGAGAGGUAGAGAUUCAGCUGGAAAACUCGCAGCAAUGUCGAGUGCAAGCCUGAUGUGUUGCUCUGGAAAUCUGGAAGCAGAAAUGACACAGAAAUCUACUUGGAGGGACCAAGACUUUAACCUCUCCCUGUUUCUCCUGGUGUUAUCACCACAUAUAAUUUGUUAUUGCAAUGAAGGGACAGAAAGGGACAAAGCAAAACUCUUCCAACGUGCAGCCCUUGGAGACCACAGUGUGAGAAUCACAGAGACACAAUGCCUUGCUCUCCGUUUUCCAUCACGAGCUGGGUACCGCAGGGAACGCAGUUAAAAAUGUCUUCUAAAAUAGCUUUAAGGAUUGGAAAUCUGAUAAGGCAAAUACAAGUGGCAAAGCUCCACUGACGUCAGUGAGACUUAUAUAAGGGAAGAUUUUGUAAUGGUAAAAGUAAGACGGGAACUGCAAAGUCCUGCACACUGAACAAGGAAGUUUUUCAGGUUAACCUCAACACAGGCCACAGAUUUGUCCUCAGAACAAUUACCCCCUGCCCUGCAAAUAAAACACUGAACUCAGACUAUUUCUGCAAAAAUUGUCACUUUGUGUGUACAAUCACACGAGCAUAAUUUACUGCAAAGCUGCUCAUCAAUAAGCAACCGAGAUAUUAAUAUUGAAUGACAUUGUCAAAGGUCCCAACCUUAACAUGCUACAUCUGUAUCUUCUGUCUCAAGAAGUUGCUUUCUUUUCAUCAAACACAUUCCAGAAGUCAACAGUAAAAGCACUGACAAGAGACAGCAGAUUGAUCCAUUAACUCUCACUCACUGCUAACAGUUCCUUGGCUGAAACCAGACCCUGCAUUCCACUUGGGAAGAUUUGGUCAGGUUCUUGAGACAAAUGACAUUUUCCAGGAUGGUCACCUACUUCAGCUGAAAACUCACUGCUUUUCAAGAGUCAAUUUUCUGAUGUGACAAUGGCACUUCCCAAAGAAAGCCAGCACUUUUCCAAAGAAAAACACCUGAUCAAAACGCCAUGUGCACACAUGAAUCUACCUAUUACUAGAUUUUGCUUUCCAUGCAGACCACAGCACUAUGUACAAUCCUGCAGCAGAACCAGUAGAGAUUGCUCCACUGUCGUCACGGGGAGG
Long non-coding RNA from Columba livia (rock pigeon), 1481 nucleotides. RefSeq lists it as uncharacterized. Lineage: Eukaryota; Metazoa; Chordata; Aves; Columbiformes; Columbidae. The record is from RefSeq and is a predicted model, not a curated record. The transcript is spliced from 3 exons.